GUAAAUAUAGUUUAACAAAAACACUAGAUUGUGAUUCUAGAGAUAGAGGUUAGACCCCUCUUAUUCACC
This 69-nucleotide transfer RNA is filed under the name Masturus lanceolatus (sharptail mola). Its description in RNAcentral is "tRNA-His". It matches the Rfam family "tRNA". Rfam says of the family: Transfer RNA (tRNA) molecules are approximately 80 nucleotides in length. Lineage: Eukaryota; Metazoa; Chordata; Actinopteri; Tetraodontiformes; Molidae. The record is from RNAcentral.